This 789-nucleotide ribosomal RNA is filed under the name uncultured Methanoculleus sp. Its description in RNAcentral is "bacterial SSU rRNA". It matches the Rfam family "Archaeal small subunit ribosomal RNA", at positions 85 to 879 of the family's 1478-position model. The record is from RNAcentral. Lineage: Archaea; Methanobacteriati; Methanobacteriota; Methanomicrobia; Methanomicrobiales; Methanomicrobiaceae.
ACUGCUCAGUAACACGUGGAUAACUUGCCCUAAGGAAGGGGAUAACCUCGGGAAACUGAGGAUAAUACCCUAUAGGUUACAGACGCUGGAAUGCCCUGUAACCGAAAGUUCCGGCGCCUUAGGAUGGAUCUGCGGCCGAUUAGGUUGUUGUUGGGGUAACGGCCCAACAAGCCGAUAAUCGGUACGGGUUGUGGGAGCAAGAGCCCGGAGUUGGAUUCUGAGACAUGAAUCCAGGCCCUACGGGGCGCAGCAGGCGCGAAAACUUUACAAUGCGGGAAACCGUGAUAAGGGAACCCCGAGUGCCUGUAUAUGCAGGCUGUCCAGGUGUCUAAAAAACACCUGAAGAAAGGGCCGGGCAAGACCGGUGCCAGCCGCCGCGGUAAUACCGGCGGCUCGAGUGGUGGCCACUUUUAUUGGGCUUAAAGCGUUCGUAGCUGGGUUGUUAAGUCUCUUGGGAAAUCUGACGGCUCAACCGUCAGGCGUCCAAGGGAUACUGGCAAUCUUGGAACCGGGAGAGGUGAGGGGUACUUCGGGGGUAGGAGUGAAAUCCUGUAAUCCUCGAGGGACCACCUGUGGCGAAGGCGCCUCACCAGAACGGCUUCGACAGUGAGGGACGAAAGCUGGGGGAGCAAACCGGAUUAGAUACCCGGGUAGUCCCAGCCGUAAACGAUGCGCGUUAGGUGUAUCGGUGACCACGAGUCACCGAGGUGCCGAAGGGAAACCGUGAAACGUGCCGCCUGGGAAGUACGGUCGCAAGGCUGAAACUUAAAGGAAUUGGCGGGGGAGCAC